GAAUGGACACGGCCCAAGAAGUCAGGUGGCCAGUUUGGAGGCGCUCAGAUUCCACGGUCCAGGCCCUGACUGCAGCGAGCUGGCCAGGCAACCAGAUGGAUCAGCUCAUGUUAGAAGGUCAGGGACGCGAAGCCCCCGGGAGUCUGAACAGGGAGCUGAGCCUCCAUGAUGUCUGUGGAAGGUGGGGGCUGUGUUGCCUUGGACGACAAGGCCCCUGAGAUUAUCGAUGGAUUGUCUGAUUAUUUACUAAUCCAAUCAGGCCUUGCUUGGUAGUCUGGGUCCACACAAAUGCUUAUGUUUACAUUAUUAAAACUGUAAUAUUCGA
Molecule: long non-coding RNA, 325 nt
Organism: Suricata suricatta (meerkat)
Lineage: Eukaryota; Metazoa; Chordata; Mammalia; Carnivora; Herpestidae
Exons: 2
Source: RefSeq, a predicted model, not a curated record